Long non-coding RNA from Daphnia magna, 2291 nucleotides. RefSeq lists it as uncharacterized. Lineage: Eukaryota; Metazoa; Arthropoda; Branchiopoda; Diplostraca; Daphniidae. The record is from RefSeq and is a predicted model, not a curated record. The transcript has 3 exons.
AUUUCCAAACGGAAUCAUGGUAUGAUGGUAGUGAUAUUUUCCUCUCUCUCCAUCUCAUUAGGAGUUGAAAAAAAACAUUAAUAAUAAAAAAUAACCUUUCGUUCACCAUUCAGUACAUAUCACGUUGUCUAAGUAAUUACGGAUAGAGGUUGUAGGGCCUUAACAUACCACGGCAAAUCAAAUUCAAUCUGACAUAAGGGGGUUUUGAUCGCAGAAAGCUAACGGAUCAAAUCCAACAAAUUGGUUACAAAUUAGUCUUCUCCCGUUUAUCAUUUUUUUUUUGCAUGUUUGAAUCUUGAAACUAUCUUUAUUUGUGUCGCAUUCUAAGUGUUUACCUAUUUUAUUUUGAUUUGAACUUGCAAGUUCUACCUGUUGCAUACCCAUUUUCUUAUUUUUAGCAUACUGCGCUAUCCCUAGAUAGAUUAUCGUUGAAGAUACGUAUGUUGACUAGAAAACAAAGAAACAGCCAAUUAUGGAUUUCCAUUUAGCAUGAGUGUCUCGAGCCUAUGCUUAUAACUUUACCUUCUGCCUUAUUCGACGGGUUCGUUCAACAUUGACAGCAGACAACAAAAAUUUUCUUUGGCGGGAAACUGGACAUGCCCCGAAGACUUAAAGAAGAAAACAGUGCAAGAGAAUUUCAAAUGAAUUUGAAAAAUUUAACACUUUAAAUGAAAUAUGGUUUCGUUUAUAAAACCAACCCGAGGCAAGCGAUUUCCGUUAGGCGGAGAGAAAUUUAUGGCAAAGAAUUUAAGACUCUAACGAGCUAUAGGAUAUGUCCACGUGAAGUGCAGGUCAUACCAUUUCGAAACGUCAGGAUCAAACCGUUAACAAGAAAAGAGAAAAGCAAAUUUUAUCAUGACCUUGAUUCGUGAAUUAUAAGGGAGGUUCUGUAUCGACCGCUGUAUUACGCAAGCGCUGGUGUCAACGACCACUGAGGGCAGCAUAUGUUUUGAUUAGGGGGAAACAAUGUAGCUUGUUUUCGUCUCUUCCUUGAGAUCAACUCUUUUUUAAAAAAUUUGGGAACCUAGCAUCUGGGCAGCUCUGACAUAGAUGUAAGUUUCACGUGAAAAGAAAAAUCGUACUGACGUUAAAAACGCUAAAAAGAGGAAGUAAAUCGGCUGAUCUUAGUCUCCUCGCCACGACUGGAAAACUGAAAAACAAAACAAAAUAAAAAUGAGAAAAUCGUAAGUGACUUCUUUUCUAUUCCCGCCCAUCGAAAACUUCUUUAUUUGAAAGACGGAGCGUGGGUAUUUUAAACCUGUUUUCAGUUUUUCCUGGACCUAGACAAUCCAUGAUUAUUAUACGUACAGUUGUAAUUUGCAGCUAAUAUGAGAUUUUCACGCAAGUGGGCAUGAUUCCACCGAUUGCUUUGUGUGUAAAAUUGCUCUACUGGUUGCUAGGAUCGGAAGACUAAAGAUUUACCUUGACCCACAAUAUCGGUCUGUAGUUUUGAAAUAAAGGAAAAUUAUAGCAGCAGGAGUUCUGAUCUCCUCUAUCCAGGUACAUUUCCCCAGGUCAAAUUUGUUCAACGUCCCUUUGGGCUUUGUUCUCCGACAUUAGAGAAAAAACGCCAGCCGUUCGAUGUGCCACUGACCGUUUCUUGAACUUUCCAAUCACCUUCCGCCUUUUUAAAGAAAAAAUAAAAGGUAAAUUCAAUGACGGUAGAGAGAAGACUAUUCGAUUGGACCAGUGUUUUUAAUUAGGACUAAUAUAAUGGCCAAUGAGAAAGAAAAAAUUUUUAUUCUUAUGUUUUUAAUCUUUUUAACAAAUUAUCCAAUUGCCUUGCAUUUUAUUUUCGGUCUACCCCAGAUGACAAAUUUAGCUCAAAUAUAAAAAAUUUUGAAUCCGAAAAUGUCCGCCAUCUGUUGGUUAAACACAAACUUUCUAUCCAUAACCUAAGUAUCCGGGCUACAGCAGCGACGAGCAAACGAUUGAAGCUAUAAUCUUCUUUACAUUAUCUUCCUACUAACGAUCCAGUCUUUUUCAAAACAUUUUUUAUAAAUUUAUAAUUUUACAACCAGCUGUUAUGAGUUUAUCCGCUGUGUGAGUAAAAUACAGAUUGUGCUGACGGCCUGACGCUGCUAGCCUAGUUUAUUAUUUAUCAAUUUCAAAACAAUAGCAGUAUGCAAUAUUAUGUACAAAAGCAAUCAAUUACUUUACUCCGAGCAUCUUUUUGUUUUGCUGUAUGUCUUUGCAUUUUUGUUUUGCGUGUUUGACUGUUUAUUAAAUAAACACUGUCUGUUUUCCGUCGUCGUCCGACCAUAUACUAUGUAUUAGGGCCACUUUCUUUG